This is a non-coding RNA of Osmia lignaria (orchard mason bee), 2270 nucleotides long. The record is from RefSeq and is a predicted model, not a curated record. Lineage: Eukaryota; Metazoa; Arthropoda; Insecta; Hymenoptera; Megachilidae.
UUAUCUACGUAAUAUUAGUGAUACGUGUACCACUAGUUUGAAGACAAAAUUGUAUCAGUGAGGUUAGAAGCUGAAGUGGGGAAGAGAGCCGGCGAGGGGACCGUUUCGUCAUGCGUAUGAAGCGCGCAUGCUUGUUAUCUCCUCCAAGUGUCGCAUGAAGUUGGGGCCUACCGGUCGAUAGAUCGAUGAUCACUCUGGUCUUUCCGGGCGUCUAGACCAGGGUUGGUGUAGAUCACACGAGUUUCGAAAGUGGAAUUCCGCAUAGCAAAACACGGAACAACUAAAGUCAAACUGACAUUCGGGUACGUAGUAAAACGGUUAGUGCUCGCGGUUAUUGUUCGCGCCUCAAACUGUGGAAUCGGUGAUCCAAAUAUGUCACGGCAAUGCUACGCCUCAAGGUCACGAUUUAGCAUUUGGACUCCAGAUUCUGGAGAAUUAGAGCCAAGUUUCCCAUUUAUCAACCCACACCUAGGAGACGAGUAGUUACAUCUUCAUUUUCUUCUACAGGGACGAGCAAAAGGGUUAAGGACCAACGCCAAGAAGAAGCAGAAGGCUGGUGUCUAUAAGUAGAAGAGGAUGGAAAGCGGAAGAAGGGUUGCUUCGAUGUGGGUGUUGUUUAGACGAGGCGUUGUUCUGGCUCGCAUAGAAUGUGGGUCGGCAUCGGCUUAGUGGCUCUGGUAAGCCUCAUGAAACACGAGUACCCACUGGGAUGUCACCGUUACCUGCUUUAUGGAGAUGGAAGCUUAUGCAUGAAUCGCCAGGAUAAGAAGGAUCCUUCGGUUGCUUGUCUACGCGACGGCUGCAUGCUUGAUGCCCCUCUAAGUAACAGUUCGUCAGGUUUGGGACUCUAGCAAACGUUCCUCCUCUACAUCGAGAGGUCUUUAAACUGGAAGGCUGGCGAAAAGCAGCUGGGUGUAAUAGCGAGGAAGCAGAAGGCCAGAAAGUAAUAUGAACGAAAUAAAAGCUGGUCGUGAUAAACGAGAAAGGAGCCCCGUUCGUGGACAACCGGGCAGAAAAAUGCUCAUCGAGCAAACCGAAGUCGGUUUGCAGCCAGGAAUUAGUCGACGUUUUUCAAGUUUUGAUGGACAACGGUUCAGCGACUUUGGGUCGACUUGAAAUUUUCAACAUCCAUUCGAAAUUCUUUUCCUAAAAGCACACUGUGAAUCUGUCAAGGAAAGAACAUUAAUGUCUCGUUCAGUUUGAUCUUAAUUUUAUUAUCAUGUCACUUUGUUACCGCUUCUAUACAUGUCAAGAUCGAAACAACAAGGGUUUUGAAUAUUUCUAUAAUUUGCUUUACUGAUAAUACAUUGACUAUUUAGGUAAAAUUGGUGAUUAUUGAUUGAUCGAUGGGAAUGAGAAUUUACCAAGUUUCAUUCGCUCAGAAACUCUAAUUAGAUAACUUUAUAAUGGAAGGUAGAUACGAAAGAAGGAAAAGUUUUGGAAAGAAUACCACCAGUUCGAUAUUUUGAGAUAUUUUUAUUUCAAAGUUCAUAGAUUUCAAGUUCCGCGUGUAAUUCUACAAAUUUUUACAAAUUUUCAUUGAUCACAAUUAAAAUCAUCAUGCUAUAAAUGAUUUUUUUAGAGACUAUAAAUGUUUUCAGAUAAUAGAGCAAUCACUUCUCUAUUACUUCGAAUAAACAAAAUUUGUUUUCUUUAAUUGUUCAGUAAUAUUAAAUUCUCUGCGAUAGUAUACUAACGACCAUUACGGCAAUUACCGCGUUGAAUUCAUAAAGUAUAAUUAUUUCACGCGAAUAAAUGUUACUUUAACAUGAACAAAUAUACGAAUCACUUUAGUUUAUACGUAUAUCGAAACAGGUUGUACGGAUACGUGCAAGUUUACCUUAAGCCGGUAACAUGUAAUUCGAAACGAAAACCACUGUAAUUGUAGAGUAUGCGCACGACUGCGCCCCUUUAAAUUGGUGCAAAUGAUCUCUCGUAGUGUGCUUACAAGAACGGGUGUAUUCCUGCUCGAAUAAAUAACGCGCGGUCUAAAGGCAGAAACCGCAACGAGGGAAUUACGAAAAACGGAAAUGAAUGGAAAGCAAGCGGGCAGGCUUGAAGGAAGCGAAAGAUCGAUGAGAUCCCUCCGAAAGGGGGAAGCACUGUUACCCCCUGACUCUUGUAUCUCGAGUGGAUGCCUUUUUUGAAAGACUCCCAGGAAUAUAUUGCCAGUUUCUAGAUGCUCGUUAUACAUCCCGAUGAAAUUAGAAGAAUGAAAUAGCCUUUGGAUACGAAGAAUGUUUCUUUCACGUUAUUCGAUGGAGAUCCGG